Molecule: ribosomal RNA, 486 nt
Filed under: uncultured eukaryote
Lineage: Eukaryota
Description: partial 18S ribosomal RNA
Rfam family: Eukaryotic small subunit ribosomal RNA
Source: RNAcentral
UCACGCACUUGUACUGUGAAACUGCGAAUGGCUCAUUAAAUCAGUUAUCGUUUAUUUGAUUGUWCUUUACUACCUGGAUACCUGKGGUAAUUCUAGAGCUAAUACAUGCGAAAAAWCCCSACUUCYGGAAGGGAUGUAUUUAUUAUAUUAAAAACCAAUGCCAGUCUUCGGACUCGUUUUCUUGGUGAUUCAUGAUAACUUUUCGAAUCGCAUGGCCUAGCGCCGGCGAUAUUUCAUUCAAAUUUCUGCCCUAUCAACUGUCGAUGGUAAGGUAGUGGCUUACCAUGGUUAUAACGGGUGACGGACAAUUAGGGUUCGAUUCCSGAGAGGGAGCCUGAGAAACGGCUACCACAUCUAAGGAAGGCAGCAGGCUCAAAAAUUACCCAAUCCCAAUUCSGGGAGGUAGUGACAAGAAAUAACGAUACGGGGUCUUAAUARGUCUCGCAAUUGGAAUGASUACAAUUUAAAUCCUUUAACKAGGAUCAA